CGCAUCUGUGCAUGCAGCAUAUCAAUAAGCGGAGGAAAAGAAACUAACAAGGAUUCCCUUAGUAACGGCGAGUGAAGCGGGAAGAGCUCAAAUUUGAAAUCUUCAAGGUUUUACCUUGACGAAUUGUAGUUUAAAGAAGUGUUUUCUGUUGAAGUUUUGGUAAAAGUUCUUUGGAAUAGGACAUCAUAGAGGGUGAGAAUCCCGUAUUUGACCAUUAUUUUCAGCUGUGUGAUACACUUUCAAAGAGUCGGAUUGUUUGGGAAUGCAGUCCAAAAUGGGUGGUAAAUUUCAUCUAAAGCUAAAUAUUGGCGAGAGACCGAUAGCGAACAAGUACCGUGAGGGAAAGAUGAAAAGAACUUUGAAAAGAGAGUUAAACAGUACGUGAAAUUGUCAAAAGGGAAGCGUUUGACACCAGUGUUGUUUUCUCGAAAAUCAAUUAAAAAGAGUUAGAUUUUGUUGUGUAUUGACCUUAACAGCUUGCAUUUCAAUUUUCUUGCUUUUUUUAAUGCACUUUUCGUUUAACAAGUCAACAUCAGUUUCUUUUGUUGUAAAAAGGUCAUUGGAAGGUGGCUUUCUUUUCGGAGAAAGUGUUUAUAGCCUUUGACUCCUGCAAUCGGAGAGACUGAGGUCUGCAGCGUAGAUCCUUCGGGGUUAGAUACAUUUGUAGCUAAGUUAUAGCUUUUUAUAGACAACUUGUUGACUAUGAUUAGUCUUGUAGCUUACUCGCUUAUGCUAUUUUACCUACGCUUAGGAUGUUGAUGUGAUACUGCGAGCA
RNAcentral lists this ribosomal RNA (775 nucleotides) under uncultured Neocallimastigales. RNAcentral's name for it is "partial large subunit ribosomal RNA". It matches the Rfam family "Eukaryotic large subunit ribosomal RNA", at positions 26 to 629 of the family's 3401-position model. Lineage: Eukaryota; Fungi; Neocallimastigomycota; Neocallimastigomycetes; Neocallimastigales. The record is from RNAcentral.